GAUGAACGCUGGCGGCGUGCCUAACACAUGCAAGUCGAACGAAGCACCUUACCUGAUUCUUCGGAUGAAAGUUUGGUGACUGAGUGGCGGACGGGUGAGUAACGCGUGGGUAGCCUGCCCUGUACAGGGGGAUAACAGCUGGAAACGGCUGCUAAUACCGCAUAAGCGCACGAGGAGACAUCUCCUUGUGUGAAAAACUCCGGUGGUACAGGAUGGGCCCGCGUCUGAUUAGCUGGUUGGCAGGGUAACGGCCUACCAAGGCAACGAUCAGUAGCCGGUCUGAGAGGAUGAACGGCCACAUUGGAACUGAGACACGGUCCAAACUCCUACGGGAGGCAGCAGUGGGGAAUAUUGCACAAUGGGGGAAACCCUGAUGCAGCAACGCCGCGUGAGUGAAGAAGUAUUUCGGUAUGUAAAGCUCUAUCAGCAGGGAAGAUAAUGACGGUACCUGACUAAGAAGCUCCGGCUAAAUACGUG
RNAcentral lists this ribosomal RNA (477 nucleotides) under uncultured bacterium. RNAcentral's name for it is "partial 16S ribosomal RNA". It matches the Rfam family "Bacterial small subunit ribosomal RNA", at positions 28 to 507 of the family's 1533-position model. The record is from RNAcentral.